UACGUAGGGUGCAAGCGUUAUCCGGAUUCAUUGGGUUUAAAGGGAGCGUAGGUGGCCUUAUAAGUCAGUGGUGAAAUCUCGCAGCUUAACUGCGAAAUUGCCAUUGAUACUGUAGGGCUUGAGUAUAGUUGCCGUUGGCGGAAUAUGACAUGUAGUGGUGAAAUACAUAGAGAUGUCAUAGAACACCGAUUGCGAAGGCAGCUGAUGAAACUAUAACUGACACUGAGGCUCGAAAGUGCGGGGAUCAAACAGG
This 253-nucleotide ribosomal RNA is filed under the name uncultured bacterium. Its description in RNAcentral is "partial 16S ribosomal RNA". It matches the Rfam family "Bacterial small subunit ribosomal RNA", at positions 524 to 776 of the family's 1533-position model. The record is from RNAcentral.